Leopardus geoffroyi (Geoffroy's cat) is the source of this 4523-nucleotide RNA transcript. It is a transcript of the gene named anoctamin 8, with no coding region annotated. The record is from RefSeq and is a predicted model, not a curated record. Lineage: Eukaryota; Metazoa; Chordata; Mammalia; Carnivora; Felidae. The transcript has 19 exons.
GGGCGGAGUCGAGAACCCAAGAGCGACGUGCGCGGGGACGAGAAGGAGAAUCGAGGUUCCGCGCGGGCGGAGACGAGAAGCAGCGCUCGGGCACGCGGGGACGGCGGCCGGCGCGGGCGGGCGCGGCCUUUGUCUCCACCUCCAGCGCGCUCCGCGGCUGCACCGGCCCGAUGAGCCCGCGGCCCCCCGGCGCUCGGGCCGCCCGCAGCCCCUGACCUGACCUGCCCUCGCCAUGGCCGAAGCCACCUCCAACGCCGGGGGCACGUCCCUGGAGGGCGAGCGUGGCAAGAGGCCCCCGCCUGAGGGCGAGCCUGCAGCCCCGGCGUCCGGAGUUCUGGACAAGCUUUUUGGGAAGCGGCUCCUGCAGGCUGGUCGCUACCUGGUGUCCCACAAGGCGUGGAUGAAGACGGUGCCCACGGAGAACUGCGAUGUGCUGAUGACCUUUCCAGACACGACUGAUGACCACACGCUGCUAUGGCUGCUGAACCACAUCCGCGUGGGCAUCCCCGAGCUGAUCGUACAAGUCCGCCACCACCGCCACACGCGUGCCUAUGCCUUCUUCGUCACCGCCACGUAUGAGAGCCUGCUUCGAGGAGCCGACGAGCUGGGUCUGCGCAAAGCAGUGAAGGCCGAGUUUGGCGGGGGCACCCGCGGCUUCUCCUGCGAGGAGGACUUCAUCUACGAGAAUGUGGAGAGUGAGCUGCGCUUCUUCACCUCCCAGGAACGCCAGAGCAUCAUCCGCUUCUGGCUGCAGAACCUGCGAGCCAAGCAGGGCGAGGCACUCCACAACGUGCGCUUCCUGGAGGACCAGCCAAUCAUCCCUGAGCUGGCAGCCCGCGGGAUCAUCCAGCAGGUGUUCCCGGUCCAUGAGCAGCGCAUCCUGAACCGCCUCAUGAAGUCGUGGGUGCAAGCUGUGUGUGAAAACCAGCCUCUAGAUGACAUCUGUGACUACUUCGGAGUAAAGAUUGCCAUGUACUUUGCCUGGCUGGGUUUCUACACAUCAGCGAUGGUAUACCCAGCCGUCUUUGGCUCUGUCCUGUACACGUUUACGGAGGCUGAUCAGACAAGCCGGGAUGUAUCGUGUGUGGUUUUUGCCCUCUUCAACGUGGUCUGGUCAACCCUGUUCUUGGAGGAGUGGAAACGGAGGGGGGCGGAGCUGGCCUACAAAUGGGGGACGCUGGACUCACCUGGGGAAGCAGUGGAGGAGCCACGGCCCCAGUUCAGGGGUAUCCGGCGCAUCAGCCCUGUGACGCGGGCUGAGGAGUUCUACUACCCACCCUGGAAGCGGCUGCUUUUCCAGCUGCUCGUGAGUCUCCCCUUGUGCCUCACCUGCCUGGCCUGUGUGUUCCUGCUCAUGCUCGGCUGCUUCCAGCUGCAGGAGCUGGUGCUGAGCGUGAAAGGGCUGCCUCGUCUUGCCCGCUUCCUGCCCAAGGUCGUGCUGGCCCUGCUGGUCAGCGUGAGCGCAGAGGGCUACAAGAAGCUCGCCAUCUGGCUCAACGACAUGGAGAAUUACCGGCUGGAGAGCGCCUAUGAGAAGCACCUCAUCAUCAAAGUCGUCCUGUUCCAGUUUGUCAACUCAUACCUGAGCCUCUUCUACAUUGGCUUCUACCUCAAGGACAUGGAGCGCUUGAAAGAGCUCCUGCUCGUCCUGUCCCUGUCCCAGAGCCUCGAGCGGCAGCUUCGGGCGGUGCUGGUCCCGCUCGCGGCCCUGCGGUUCCGCCUGCUCCUCCUCUCCCUCCGGGGCCUCCUGCUCGUGGCCCGGGCCAAAAUGCUGGCCACUCUGCUGAUCACCCGCCAGUUCCUCCAGAACGUGCGUGAGGUCCUGCAGCCGCACCUGUACCGGCGGCUGGGCCGUGGCGAGCUUGGCCUGCAGGCUGCCUGGGAGCUGGCCCGUGCCCUGCUUGGCCUGCUGAGCCUCCAGCGCCCUGCACCCCGCCGCCUUGAACCCCAGGCCGAAGAGGGUGGCGGAGGCGGCAGCGGGGGCCGCAGGUGUCUCAGUGGGGGCUGUGGGGCACCUGAGGAGGAGGAGGAGGCCACCGUGGAGCGGCGGCCUGCAGGGGAAGGUGGGGAGAUGGGGGAUGGGCCCCGGGGAGGCAAGGAGGAAGAAGAGGAGGAGGAGGAGGAUGAGGAGGAGGAGGAGGAGGAGGAAGAUGAGGAGGAGGAGGGUGAGGAGAGCGGCCUCCUGGACUGUGGGCUCCGGCUGAAGAAGGUCAGCUUUGCUGAACGAGGGGCUGGGCGGCGGCGACCUGGCCCAGAGGCCCUCCUGGAGGAGGGGAGCCCCACUAUGGUGGAGAAGGGGCUGGAGCCGGGAGUAUUCACACUGGCUGAAGAAGACGAUGAGGCCGAAGGGGCUCCCGGCAGUCCCGAGCGGGAGCCUCCGGCCGUCCUGCUCCGCCGGGCUGGGGGCGAGGGCCGUGACCAGGGGCCAGACGGGGGCCCAGACCCGGAGCCAGGUUCUGGCGACUCAGCCCGGAGGCAGCGGCGACAGAAUCGGUCAUCCUGGAUUGACCCACCCGAGGAGGAGCACUCACCCCAGCUUACCCAGGCUGAGCUUGAGAGCUGUAUGCAGAAGUACGAGGACACGUUCCAGGACUACCAGGAGAUGUUCGUGCAGUUCGGCUACGUGGUACUCUUCUCGUCUGCCUUCCCCCUGGCCGCUCUGUGCGCCCUGGUCAACAACCUCAUUGAGAUCCGAAGCGACGCCCUCAAGCUGUGCACGGGGCUGCAGCGGCCCUUCGGGCAACGGGUUGAGAGCAUCGGCCAGUGGCAGAAGGUGAUGGAGGCCAUGGGUGUCCUGGCAAUCGUGGUCAACUGCUACCUGAUCGGCCAGUGCGGGCAGCUGCAGCGCCUCUUUCCCUGGCUCAGCCCCGAAGCGGCCAUCGUGUCUGUGGUGGUGCUCGAGCACUUCGCUCUGCUCCUCAAGUACCUCAUCCACGUGGCCAUCCCCGACAUCCCAGGCUGGGUGGCCGAGGAGAUGGCCAAGCUUGAGUACCAGCGCCGGGAGGCCUUCAAGAGACACGAACGCCAGGCCCAGCACCGCUAUCAGCAGCAGCAGCGGCGGCGGCGGGAGGAGGAGGAGCGCCAGCGCCACGCGGAGCACCAUGCCCGGCGAGAGCGCGAUGCCAGCGGCCGGGAGGAGGCUCGGGCCGAAGGCUCAGGGCUGGACCCUGCUGCCCCUGAGAAGGCCUCUGCCAAGGCCAAGGGCAGUGGGGCAGGCGGCCACGGGCAAGAGCGGCCCAAGCGCCCGGGGUCCUUGCUGGCACCCAACAACGUCAUGAAGCUGAAACAGAUCAUCCCGCUGCAGGGCAAGUUCCUGUCGUCUGGGGCCGCAUCCUCACUGGCCAGCGCGGGGGCUGGCCCUGCCGCCCGGCCACCCCCUGCCCAGUCACCCACGGGUAGCGACACCCGCCUGCCAGCCUUCCUCAGCUUCAAGUUCCUCAAGUCGCCUGAGACACGGCGGGACCCAGAGCGUAGCCACUCACCGCCCAAGGCUUUCCACGCUGGCAAGCUCUUUCCUUUCGGUGGGGCCCGGGCUGACGCCGGGUCCAACGGGGCAGGUGGGCAGGCCCGGCUGGAUGGGACCCCCAGCGGCGGAGGAGGCCGAGCCCAGCGGAGUGGGCCGGUGGACGAGGCUGCGGCUGAGGAGCCGGACGCCCCCCGGCCUGAAGAGGAAGGCUCAGGUCACAAGCUUUAACUCGGGGGUGGGGACUCUGGGCUGGGCUUUGCGGGAAGGGGUGGGGUGGCCAGGCCUGGGGAGAGGGGCUGAAGGGGACAGAGGAGGCCCGGUCUCUGUACCGGUUGGGAACCUGGGUACGUGGUACGUGGAGCCUCUCAGUCAAAGCCUGCUCAGUAUCUCCGGGACCCUUGACAGCCAAAGCCCCCUGUCCCGGCGGCCCUCCCAGGGCACCUUGCCCUCCAUGCUCUGGUGCCAGGAGAGAUGCAGGAGGCUUCUUCCCCACCUGGCCCAGCCUCUCCUGCCCCUAUGAGACCCCACACCCAGCUCAUUCUGGGGGGACUGGACCCCCCCCAGGCCUCUAUGCAAGUCCCUAACCUGCAGCCCUGCUGUUCAGGGAGGCCUUCCUUGGAGGUGGGGGCCAGGGCUGCCUACCCAGGGAGCUCGGCGUGCUCGGCCACAGGCUGCACCCGGAUUCGCGCUGAGCAGAGGUGCAAGCCUCGUGCCCACCCGCCCCCUCCCCACCACCCCCCCAGCCCACCUUGCUAGCCCCAACCCCAGCCCAACCCAGCUCCAGGCUCCAGCAGCUCAUCCCCCAGGGAGCCCAAGAGGUGGCAGCUGCAACACCAGGGACGCAGGUCAGAAAUCAGAGGGACUUCCUCAGACUGUCCCCUCCCCCCCGUGACGGGGAGGGGCCCAGUGCCCAGAGGCAGGGGAUGCACCGGAAGACGCCCACCCCUUGUCACUGAUCAGAAGCAAUAAGGCCCUCGAGGGACAGCGCUGGCCCCCGUGGGCGCCCCUGCCCUCCGCACCCGCCGCAGCCGGAGCCCCGCGCCGCCGCCGCCGCCGC